GCGUGGUAGCUCAGUUGGUUAGAGCGCAGGAUUCAUAACCCUGAGGUCGGGAGUUCAAAUCUCCCUCAC
This 69-nucleotide transfer RNA is filed under the name marine eukaryotic metagenome. It matches the Rfam family "tRNA". From Rfam's summary of the family: Transfer RNA (tRNA) molecules are approximately 80 nucleotides in length. Their secondary structure includes four short double-helical elements and three loops (D, anti-codon, and T loops). The record is from RNAcentral.